AGUGAACGCUGGCGGUAGGCCUAACACAUGCAAGUCGAACGGCAGCACAGUAAGAGCUUGCUCUUACGGUUGGCGAGUGGCGGACGGGUGAGGAAUACAUCGCCAUCUACUUUUUCUUGGGUGAUAACGUAGGGCAACUUACGCUAAUACCUCAUAUGUCCUACGGGUUAAAUCAGUAGAUCUUCGCACCUUGCGCGACUGAUUUAGCCGAUGUCGGAUUAGCUAGUUGGCGGGGUAAAGGCCCACCAAGGCGACGAUCCGUAGCGGGUCUGAGAGGAUGAUCAGCCACACUGGAACUGAGACACGGUCCAGACUCCUACGGGAGGCAGCAGUGGGGAAUAUUGGACAAUGGGCGCAAGCCUGAUCCAGCCAUACCGCGUGGGUGAAGAAGGCCUUCGGGUUGUAAAGCCCUUUUGUUGGGGAAGAAAAGCAGCAGGUGAAUACCCCGCUGUUCUGACGGUACCCAAAGAAUAAGCACCGGCUAACUUCGUG
RNAcentral lists this ribosomal RNA (492 nucleotides) under uncultured bacterium. RNAcentral describes it as "partial 16S ribosomal RNA". It matches the Rfam family "Bacterial small subunit ribosomal RNA", at positions 29 to 507 of the family's 1533-position model. The record is from RNAcentral.